UGGGGAAUAUUGGACAAUGGGCGCAAGCCUGAUCCAGCAAUGCCGCGUGUGUGAAGAAGGCCUUCGGGUUGUAAAGCACUUUUAUCAGGAGCGAAACGCUGUCGGCUAAUACCCGGCGGAACUGACGGUACCUGAGGAAUAAGCACCGGCUAACUUCGUGCCAGCAGCCGCGGUAAUACGAAGGGUGCAAGCGUUAAUCGGAAUUACUGGGCGUAAAGCGUGCGUAGGCGGUUUCUUAAGUCUGCUGUGAAAUCCCCGGGCUCAACCUGGGAAUGGCAGUGGAUACUGGGAGGCUAGAGUGUGUCAGAGGGUGGUGGAAUUCCCGGUGUAGCGGUGAAAUGCGUAGAGAUCGGGAGGAACAUCGGUGGCGAAGGCGGCCACUUGGGACAACACUGACGCUGAGGCACGAAAGCGUGGGGAGCAAACAGGAUUAGAUACCCUGGUAGUCCACGCCCUAAACGAUGCGAACUGGAUGUUGGUCUCAACUCGGAGAUCAGUGUCGAAGCUAACGCGUUAAGUUCGCCGCCUGGGGAGUACGGUCGCAAGACUGAAACUCAAAUGAAUUGACGGGGUCAUAGCUGUUUCCUG
This 588-nucleotide ribosomal RNA is filed under the name uncultured bacterium. RNAcentral's name for it is "partial 16S ribosomal RNA". It matches the Rfam family "Bacterial small subunit ribosomal RNA", at positions 355 to 1376 of the family's 1533-position model. The record is from RNAcentral.